RNAcentral lists this ribosomal RNA (609 nucleotides) under Protubera jamaicensis. RNAcentral's name for it is "eukaryotic LSU rRNA". It matches the Rfam family "Eukaryotic large subunit ribosomal RNA", at positions 65 to 643 of the family's 3401-position model. The record is from RNAcentral. Lineage: Eukaryota; Fungi; Basidiomycota; Agaricomycetes; Phallales; Phallaceae.
CUAACAAGGAUUCCCCUAGUAACGGCGAGUGAAGCGGGAAGAGCUCAAAUUUGUAAUCUGGCGGUCUGGCGGCCGUCCGAGUUGUAAUCUGGAGAAGCGUUUUCGGUGCCGGCCCGCGUACAAGUCCCCUGGAACGGGGCGUCGCAGAGGGUGAGAAUCCCGUCUCUGACGCGGUCYGCCGGCGCCGUGCGAUGCGCUCUCGAAGAGUCGAGUUGUUUGGGAAUGCAGCUCAAAACGGGUGGUAAAUUCCAUCUAAAGCUAAAUACUGGCGAAAGACCGAUAGCGAACAAGUACCGUGAGGGAAAGAUGAAAAGCACUUUGGAAAGAGAGUCAAACAGUACGUGAAAUUGUUGAAAGGGAAACGCUUGAAGUCAGUCGCGUCUCUCGGGACUCAGUCGGACCCUAGGGUCCGACGCACUUCCCGGGUCGGACGGGCCAGCGUCGAUUUCGACCGCCGUAAAAAGGCGUGAGGAACGUGGCACCUUCGGGUGUGUUAUAGCCUCGCGUCGUAUGCGGCGGACGGGAUCGAGGAACGCAGCGCGCGUCCCCUACGGGGGACACGGGGUUCGCCCACGUAACGCGCUUGGGACGCUGGCGUAAUGGCUUUAA